Molecule: long non-coding RNA, 1892 nt
Filed under: Phoenix dactylifera (date palm)
Lineage: Eukaryota; Viridiplantae; Streptophyta; Magnoliopsida; Arecales; Arecaceae
Description: long non-coding RNA (PDAC_LNC008325)
Source: RNAcentral
UAGCUUGUGUAUGGUCCAGAUAUCACCGAGCACCCAAGUAUAAAUUAGCCUUACAAUUCUCUAACGGAAACUUAAUGACUUCAACUUAAGUUGCAUACUGACCUAAGAUUUGGGCUGACUUAGUAAUUAAAACUUUGUGUGCUUUUGAAAUUCUUGGCACUUAUGCAUUUGAAGUUAAAUUUUAUAAAACAAUAAACUCUUUGGGUAGAGACAACAGUUUGUGGGUAUCUGAGCCGGAAACCCUCACGAGACAAAACUCGUCCACUAGGGCCACCUAGGGGUUUAAAGCCUUAUUGCAUACGGAAAAUGCAAUCGCGAUUCCUGCGAAAGUGAGUUAGUUUUUAUUUUGCUCGAGGACUAGCAAAAUGUAGGUUUGGGGGUGUGAUAAGUGCUAAAUAAUGCAUGAAUUAAUAUCUUACUUAUAGCACUUAUCAUUAUUUUUACGCAUAUAUUUUAAAUUUAAACAUAAGAAAAUUCAUUCCCCCUUAUCAUUGCAUUUUAAUAAAUUAUUAGAAAUAAUUCGAGUUUGCUUGAUUUUAUUGGUCGAGUCUAAUGUGUGCAGGUUACGUCGAACUAAUUAGGAUGAUGUCUGAACUAAUGUGUACAGGUCACGUUUGCAGCUGAACCCGUGUCCACGUCAUCCUUUAAAUGCUUAGAGAUCAAGCUUCCACGUCACUUUCCAGUUCCCGGGUCCCAUGAACAAAACCAAGCCUAUCAUCCCGUUCAAGUCCCAAAUUUCAUGCGUCCGCCCCGCGUAUCUCGCAACACCUCUCCCCUGUUCCGCGUCACCAGAUCAUGUUUCAUCAUUUCUCCUCAUCCACUUCUUCCGAACCAGCCAGCAUUUCGGAUUGAUCUUGAAUUCACCUCAUGCGAUCGUUCCCAGUGAAUCUCCAACGCCACGGAUUAGCUUCCCGGCAUCCUUCAACCGUGAAUAUUAUCUCCAACUAAAAUCCUUUCUCCCGAACCAAUCCAGCAUCUUUACGGCUUAAUCCCAGGAAACCUCAGGAUCUCAUCCUCAUCCUUCCCAAUAUCCCACGAACGGAAUUCCAGCUCCCAACACCUCAUGCAUCCUCUCCACGAUUCAUUCUUAUCCCCUCUCAGCCGUGAAUAUCAUUCAAGCACCCAGUUCCAGCAUCCACGGAUGAGCUCAAAUCCCCUGUUCGCGGAUCAAGCCAGCCUUCAUCCUGUUCGUAAGAUCCAUCUCCCACAGCCAUCCGUGAUCAUCUCCCAGCAUCCUCCUCUUCCGGCUUGAUUCCAGCUCCCCUGUUACGUGUAGCAUCCCGUCUUCAUCGCCUACCAAACUCAGGAUCCAUUCAAUCCCAACGUCCCUGCUCACAGCUCGCUCCCAAACACAACCCCUGUUCCGAGUCAGUCCCGUAUCCCAUGCUCAUCACGAAUCCAACCAUUCCCUCCUUUCACGGACAUCUCCCAAGUCGUUCCCAGAUUGCUUCCCAGCGUCCGCAAUUCAUGGAUAACUCCCAACAUCGCCUGCAAUCCAAAGAUUUCCUCCCAGCGUUCACGAUAACUUCAACCACCCAUGUAUCCCCUGAACAAAGCCUAGUCUUCCCAUCAACUGCCAACCGAAUCCAAACUUCCUCCCAUUCGGAUUAAUUCCAUUGAUCACGGAAGAAUCCCCUGUUCCUAUCUUUCCCGAGCUCAUCCUCCCAAGGAAUAGAGCUGUCAUCCCGUUUGCAUGCCGUUCACAGUUCCGCAUCCAAAGCUCCCAACAACUCGAUCAAUUCCAUCAUUAUCCCGCAUCCUAAACCAUCAAAUCUUCUUUCAGCUUCCUCCCAGCUUUGCAUCCUUAUCCUAUGCUUCAGAACAGGGUACCAUCUUAUCACGGCUCAAGCCAGCAAAGUCCCAGCUCUUUCCGUCCGAGAUUCUCUCCACGU